AGCGGGGUAGGGCAGCCAGGUAGCCCGCGGGAGAUCUAACCCCGAGGUCCCCGGUUCAAAUCCGGGCCCCGCUACCA
Molecule: transfer RNA, 77 nt
Filed under: Acidilobales archaeon
Lineage: Archaea; Thermoproteati; Thermoproteota; Thermoprotei; Acidilobales
Description: tRNA-Arg
Rfam family: tRNA
About the family: Transfer RNA (tRNA) molecules are approximately 80 nucleotides in length. Their secondary structure includes four short double-helical elements and three loops (D, anti-codon, and T loops).
Source: RNAcentral